GCCGGCAUAGCUCAGUUGGUAGAGCAACUGCCUUGUAAGCAGUAGGUCAGGGGUUCGAGUCCCCUUGCCGGCUCCC
Molecule: transfer RNA, 76 nt
Filed under: Amycolatopsis sulphurea
Lineage: Bacteria; Bacillati; Actinomycetota; Actinomycetes; Pseudonocardiales; Pseudonocardiaceae
Also listed under: 1 other name
Description: tRNA-Thr
Rfam family: tRNA
About the family: Transfer RNA (tRNA) molecules are approximately 80 nucleotides in length. Their secondary structure includes four short double-helical elements and three loops (D, anti-codon, and T loops).
Source: RNAcentral